CGCUAGUAAUCGCGGAUCAGAAUGCCGCGGUGAAUACGUUCCCGGGUCUUGUACACACCGCCCGUCACACCAUGGGAGUCGGAAAUGCCCGAAGUCUGUGACCCAACCUUAGGGAGGGAGCAGCCGAAGGCAGGUCGGAUGACUGGGGUGAAGUCGUAACAAGGUAGC
RNAcentral lists this ribosomal RNA (168 nucleotides) under uncultured bacterium. RNAcentral's name for it is "partial 16S ribosomal RNA". It matches the Rfam family "Bacterial small subunit ribosomal RNA", at positions 1333 to 1500 of the family's 1533-position model. The record is from RNAcentral.